CGCGCGCUCCCGCGAACCUCUCUUCCGUUUUAUAACACAUGAAACUAAUGCUUACACAUUUCAGGAUAAUGUCGUCAUGCAAAAAAAAAAAAAGGAUUAUUUUAAACUAUAGUCUCACACAGCCAGAUAUAUAGUCUAUAGUCUCAAAUAGGCAUAUAAAACUGUCGUAAUAGUGCAAUUUUAAUUACCUCAUCUGUCGACAUGAUGCUGCUGAACUGCAGAGCUUGUGUGCAAACAUAUCCACAUCGCGAUGAUUAGAUGCUUUCUUUGCUGUUUUUUCACUGCUGUAAUUUUAGUUGUGUGUUUAUUUUGUUAUUGAAACGAAAGUGUGCAACACAUAGGUUAUUCAUCUAAACAUCGCUCUCAGCAGCGUGGACGACGUCGGGAUGUUUGUUAGCAGUAUAUCGCAGCAAAGUGUGUCGGACCAUCAUGCCAACGGCUUUAAAGUUCCAUCAGGGAUCCCUGCCGAACCUCUGCCAGGCCAGCUAAUCUGUAAUCAUUCAUGGCUGACUUAUACAAACUGCUCGUGCUGGUGCUCAUUUCUGGCACUCGACAGCAACCGUCGGACGCAUUCUCCAUCUCCCCGCAGUAAACAAACGGCGCGUGGAAAGGUUACCCAAUAGUGUGAGCAGCCAGAUCUCCAAAGGAAACGGGGUAUUAAGCACGUCGGAGCUUUUCAAGUCCAAAAAGAUGAAUGAAAAUCAUACAUGCUCAGAACAACAUGAGGAUGCCGGAAAAAACGACUGAUGCAAAGAGGCGUCUGUCAAGCCAAUGAGGACGGAAGAUGAAGACGGGACUGCCGAAAUAAGGGUAUCUGGGGUCCGUCUUGAGGAACUGUUGGAUUAGACACCGUUCUGUUAGGUUAAAGAGGAGGUUUGCUCGUCUGAUUCAGUCUUGAGUGGAGAGCAGCUUCCUGCUGUGGUGAAGUCCCUCCACCUCCAGGGCAUCACGACUCAAGAGGGACUGAGAGAGAGAAAUACACAGUAAACAGACGGAAACACUUCUGGCAGCGGGAAUUUCCUGAGAGCGGAUCGAAAGGAUGGCUGCGGUGUUCGCCGGCCCAAACUGCACCACAGGAAGUGUCUGCACGACUCCAGAAGCAGAGGUCAAGGCCAGGGGUCACGGGUGGCACGGCAGAGAUUUACGCCGAGAGAGAGCCGAACCCGUUCCCAGCCUUCAUCUAUUUCCCGGGGAAAUUAGCCAUAAAGUCACCGUUUUCAUCUUUCAAGGUUUUGUCAUAAACUGUCAUCUUUCCUCGUCUUUGAUUUGAAAAAAAAAAAAAAAAAAAAUGAUGAUAAAAAAAAAAAGAACAACAAUAGCCUAGAACAGUUUAUUCUACUGUAUUCUUUUCAUCUCAAGUUAACCUCUCGUUUUACUGUCCGUUGUUUCCGGCACGGACCACCCCAUUGUUUAAAGACGCCUGUGAAAAAAAACAAAAAAGUUUCACAUUUUCUGAAAUGUGCAGGGCUGCUCUCUGAGGUCCAUUUCAUUUUAACCAAAUGGGGGGGAAGCUUGUCUUUACCGCGGUGAGCAGAUGGAACUAUAAAUCAAGGCAGCCGUUGCCGCCCUGUAGAGGGCCGACCACAGCUGCCACUCUCUCUCUCUGACUCUCUGCGUUUCGCUGAAAAUCUUUUCAGGUCCAUCGUCAAGCAAUCUGGGCUUCUAUUUUUUUAUAUAUAUACACACACACCACACCUCCCCUCUCGGUACAGUCAUAUCCAUCAAAACGACACGCGCCCAUCAACCUACUGCCGCGAUCGAUUGGCACACUUAUUUCUGCGCAUAGCCAAUGCCCCGCUCUGGAGGUAAAGCCCCACGACAGGCCCCUCAUUUUGGCUCUUUAGCCCCCAGCAACCACUGUGACUCUGGCAGCAGCAGGCCAGGCCUCCUCCAUUAAAGUUGCAUUAUGAUGGAUAUCAAGGCAUCCAAGCCCUGAGUGUUUUAAACGAGAGGUGACAAGAAACGAAACACGGGCUAUUGUUUUUCGCUCCAUCCUUAACAGCCCCCCACCCCCAAACAUCCUUGCAGAACGGUAUGCGCCGAUUUUAACAUAUUGGCUGUUUUGCUAAGCAAAUAGACUCAAUAAUCUGUGCAUAACCUAGAAGAAAAGGCCGGCGGAGGCUGCAGUGCCGCAGAUGACCAGAUGGUGGCGCUCUAAUGCCACAGAUAUCAUCAGCGCUGCUGAGUUGAGGGCUCAAGACAAAGACUGUGAAGAAGAGAAAUGUUCAAAUGGAGAAACUACACAUAAAUUCAUACUUUUUACAGUAUCAGCAAUGAUUUCCCUCAAACGUUGCAGACACAUAUCAGCACUGUGACAGCAGAGUAAACACUCUCAAAUUAGUUCGUUUAGAGCUGAGGUUAAUCACUGAUAGCACUUUAUCUGGUUAAAAGAAAUCUAAUCACAGGACCUGUUUUAAUUAGGUUUCUUACUCAAAGAAAGAGCUGAAUUAUGAAGAUCUAUGCAGUUUAUUUUUUGAUUUGCAUGUGCCAUUUUUUUUUUCAGCUUUCUCAUCUCAUUUUUGCUUUAUUUUGUCAGCUGCGAUGCUUUAUGCAUUCUUUUAAUUGAUCAUAUAAACUUCAAGAGAUUUUCCAUUUGCCAAAAGGUAGUCUUUAUCAUCAACAUUCAAUCUAUAAAUCAAUCAAUCAAGGAAGCAAAUUAAUACUUAAAUACAUGCUGACAAUCUUAAACAUUCAAUCAAUUUCUGCUCUUAAACUCAGAGUUUUAUGCUCUGAAUGGUUUGGAUUUUUAAAAGAAAAAGAUUUUGCAUUUUAAAGGUAUUUACACUCUAAAAAAAAAAUGCUGGGUUAAAAUCAACCCAAGUUGUGUUAAAUGGGCAAACCCAGUGAUUGGGUUGUUUUAACCCAGCAGU
Long non-coding RNA from Megalobrama amblycephala (Wuchang bream), 2870 nucleotides. RefSeq lists it as uncharacterized. Lineage: Eukaryota; Metazoa; Chordata; Actinopteri; Cypriniformes; Xenocyprididae. The transcript is spliced from 6 exons. The record is from RefSeq and is a predicted model, not a curated record.